Molecule: ribosomal RNA, 372 nt
Filed under: uncultured organism
Description: partial 16S ribosomal RNA
Rfam family: Bacterial small subunit ribosomal RNA
Source: RNAcentral
GUAGGUGGCAAGCGUUGUCCGGAAUUAUUGGGCGUAAAGCGCGCGCAGGCGGUUCUUUAAGUCUGAUGUGAAAGCCCACGGGCUCAACCGUGGAGGGUCAUUGGAAACUGGAGAACUUGAGUACAGAAGAGGAAAGCGGAAUUUCACGUGUAGCGGUGAAAUGCGUAGAGAUGUGGAGGAACACCAGUGGCGAAGGCGGCUUUCUGGUCUGUAACUGACGCUGAGGCGCGAAAGCGUGGGGAGCAAACAGGAUUAGAUACCCUGGUAGUCCACGCCGUAAACGAUGAGUGCUAAGUGUUAGGGGGUUUCCGCCCCUUAGUGCUGCAGCUAACGCAUUAAGCACUCCGCCUGGGGAGUACGGCCGCAAGGCUG